Molecule: ribosomal RNA, 439 nt
Filed under: uncultured bacterium
Lineage: Bacteria
Description: partial 16S ribosomal RNA
Rfam family: Bacterial small subunit ribosomal RNA
Source: RNAcentral
CCUACGGGAGGCAGCAGUGGGGAAUAUUGCACAAUGGGCGAAAGCCUGAUGCAGCAACGCCGCGUGAGCGAUGAAGGCCUUCGGGUCGUAAAGCUCUGUCCGCAAGGGAGAUAAUGACGGUACUUGAGGAGUACGCCCCGGCUAACUACGUGCCAGCAGCCGCGGUAAUACGCAGGGGGCUAGCGUUAUCCGGAAUUACUGGGCGUAAAGGGUGCGUAGGUGGUUUCUCAAGUCAGCGGUGAAAGGCUACGGCUCAACCGUAGUAAGCCGUUGAAACUGGGUAACUGGAGUGCAGGAGAGGAGAGUGGAAUUCCUAGUGUAGCGGUGAAAUGCGUAGAUAUUAGGAAGAACACCAGUUGCGAAGGCGGCUCACUGGACUGUAACUGACACUGAGGCACGAAAGCGUGGGGAGCAAACAGGAUUAGAUACCCUUGUAGUC